UACCAGCACCCCGAGUGGUCGGGACGAUUAUUGGGCCUAAAGCGUCCGUAGCCGGUUUUACAAGUCCUCCGUUAAAUCCAGCUGCUUAACAGAUGGGCUGCGGAGGAUACUAUAAGACUAGGAGGCAGGAGAGGCAAGCGGUACUCAGUGGGUAGGGGUAAAAUCCGUUGAUCCAUUGAAGACCACCAGUGGCGAAGGCGGCUUGCCAGAAUGCGCUCGACGGUGAGGGAUGAAAGCUGGGGGAGCAAACCGG
RNAcentral lists this ribosomal RNA (253 nucleotides) under uncultured bacterium. Its description in RNAcentral is "partial 16S ribosomal RNA". It matches the Rfam family "Archaeal small subunit ribosomal RNA", at positions 474 to 727 of the family's 1478-position model. The record is from RNAcentral.